AAUCAACGCUGGCGGCGUGCCUCAGACAUGCAAGUCGAACGCGAAAGUUCCCUUCGGGGAGCGAGUAGAGUGGCGUCCGGGUGAGUAACACGUAGGUAAUCUACCUUUGGGUGGGGAAUAACAACCGGAAACGGUUGCUAAUACCGCAUAAUGCAGCGGCACCGCAUGGUGACAGUUGUUAAAGCGGGGGAUCGCAAGACCUCGCGCCUAAAGAGGAGCCUGUGGCGGAUUAGCUAGNGGUCAGGGUAACGGCCUACCAAGGCAACGAUCCGUAGCCGGCCUGAGAGGGCGGUCGGCCACACUGACACUGAAAUACGGGUCAGACUCCUACGGGAGGCAGC
RNAcentral lists this ribosomal RNA (341 nucleotides) under uncultured bacterium. Its description in RNAcentral is "bacterial SSU rRNA". It matches the Rfam family "Bacterial small subunit ribosomal RNA", at positions 32 to 352 of the family's 1533-position model. The record is from RNAcentral.